GACUGCCGGUGACAAACCGGAGGAAGGUGGGGAUGACGUCAAAUCAUCAUGCCCCUUAUGACCUGGGCUACACACGUGCUACAAUGGCAAGUACAACGAGCAGCUAACCCGCGAGGGUACGCGAAUCUCUUAAAACUUGUCUCAGUUCGGAUUGUAGGCUGCAACUCGCCUACAUGAAGUCGGAAUCGCUAGUAAUCGCGGAUCAGCACGCCGCGGUGAAUACGUUCCC
Molecule: ribosomal RNA, 229 nt
Filed under: Weissella viridescens
Lineage: Bacteria; Bacillati; Bacillota; Bacilli; Lactobacillales; Lactobacillaceae
Description: partial 16S ribosomal RNA
Rfam family: Bacterial small subunit ribosomal RNA
Source: RNAcentral